This 253-nucleotide ribosomal RNA is filed under the name uncultured bacterium. RNAcentral describes it as "partial 16S ribosomal RNA". It matches the Rfam family "Bacterial small subunit ribosomal RNA", at positions 524 to 776 of the family's 1533-position model. The record is from RNAcentral.
UACGUAGGCAGCGAGCGUUGUUCGGAGUUACUGGGCGUAAAGGGUGCGUAGGCGGGUCUUUAAGUCAGGGGUGAAAUCCUGGAGCUCAACUCCAGAACUGCCUUUGAUACUGAAGAUCUUGAGUUCGGGAGAGGUGAGUGGAACUGCGAGUGUAGAGGUGAAAUCCGUAGAUAUUCGCAAGAACACCAGUGGCGAAGGCGGCUCACUGGCCCGAUACUGACGCUGAUGCACGAAAGCGUGGGGAGCAAACAGG